RNAcentral lists this ribosomal RNA (253 nucleotides) under uncultured bacterium. RNAcentral describes it as "partial 16S ribosomal RNA". It matches the Rfam family "Bacterial small subunit ribosomal RNA", at positions 524 to 776 of the family's 1533-position model. The record is from RNAcentral.
GACGGAGGGUGCAAACGUUGUUCGGAAUCACUGGGCAUAAAGAGCACGUAGGCUGCGCGCUAAGUCAGGUGUGAAAUCCCCCGGCUCAACCGGGGAACUGCACCUGAUACUGGCGUGCUCGAGGACGGUAGGGGUGAGUGGAACUCCAGGUGGAGCGGUGAAAUGCGUAGAUAUCUGGAGGAACACCGGUGGCGAAAGCGGCUCACUGGACCGUCUCUGACGCUGAUGCACGAAAGCUAGGGGAGCAAACGGG